Haliaeetus leucocephalus (bald eagle) is the source of this 6147-nucleotide RNA transcript. It is a transcript of the gene named UV radiation resistance associated, with no coding region annotated. The transcript is spliced from 19 exons. The record is from RefSeq and is a predicted model, not a curated record. NCBI's taxonomy places the organism in Eukaryota, Metazoa, Chordata, Aves, Accipitriformes, Accipitridae.
CCCGCCGUGAAGAUGAGCUCGGCCGCCGGCUCCGCCGCCUUACCGCCGGGCUCCGCCACCCGGGCCUUGCAUGUGGAGCUGCCCUCGCAGCAGCGCCGGCUUCGUCAUCUUCGGAAUAUCGCUGCACGUAACAUUAUCAAUAAGAAUGGUUAUCGCCUCUUGGAUACAUACUUCACUCUCCACUUAUGUGAUAACACCAAGAUAUACAAAGAAUUUUAUAAGAGUGAGGUGAUCAAGAAUUCUCUGAAUCCGACAUGGAGGAGUCUGGACUUUGGAAUAAUGCCUGAUCGUCUUGAUACCUCUGUCUCUUGUUUUGUUGUGAGGAUCUGGGGUGGCAAGAAGGAGCACUUUCAGCUUUUGAUUGAAUGGAAGGUCAAUCUAGAUGGGUUAAAGUACUUGGGCCAGCAGAUACAUGCAAGAAACCCAAACGAGAUUAUUUUUGGUCUCAAUGAUGGUUAUUAUGGAGCUUCAUUUGAACAGAAGGAUCACUCAGGUACCCUGAAGAAUAGUCUUCUCCAGGUGGAUCAGAACUGUGUUCGUAACUCUUACGAUGUCUUCUCUUUGCUUAGGCUUCACAGAGCCCAGUGUGCAAUUAAACAGACUCAGGUAACUGUUCAGAAAAUAGGAAGGGAGAUUGAAGAAAAGCUGAGAUGUACAUCUACAAGCAAUGAACUGAAAAAAGAGAGUGAAUGUUUACAGUUGAAGAUCCUGGUGCUACGUAAUGAACUGGAGAGGCAGAAGAAGGCCCUUGGUCAAGAAGUAGCAUUGUUGCAUAAGGAAAAAAGUACUUUGCAUGACAGAGAAAAUGCAUUUGAGACUGAAUACCAGAAACUUCAAGAGCAUAACGAAUCCCUGCAUGAAUUAAGAAAGGAAUGCACUGCUAAGAGAGAACUGUUUUUGAAGACAAAUGCCCAGCAGACUAUUCGAUGCAAGCAAUUGCUAUCGGAGCUAUCCUAUAUCUACCCUAUUGAUCUGAAUGAUCAAAAGGAUUACUUUGUUUGUGGAGUCAAGCUUCCUAAUUCUGAAGACUUUCAAGCAAAAGAUGACGGAAGCAUUGCUGUUGCCCUGGGCUACACUGCUCACUUGGUUUCAAUGAUAUCCUACUUCUUGCAAGUGCCACUCAGGUAUCCUAUAAUUCACAAGGGCUCCCGGUCCACAAUCAAAGAUAAUAUCAAUGACAAACUGACGGAGAAAGAGCGAGAAUUUCCUUUAUAUCCAAAAGGAGGGGAGAAGCUUCAGUUUGAAUAUGGAGUAUAUCUUCUCAACAAAAAUAUAGCACAGCUUAGAUAUCAACAUGGGCUGAGUACUCCAGAUCUAAGGCAAACUCUUCCUAACCUGAAAAACUUCAUGGAGCUUGGACUAAUGGUUAGAUGUGAUCGACACCAUACAUCCAGUGCAAUUCCUGUUCCAAAGAGACAGAGCUCUAGCUUCGGCAGAUUGGAUAUUGGCUUUUCCAGUGGGCUUCCUUCUCCAGAUAAAGGACUCCGAAAACGAGCCAGCACGGGAAAUGAAAGACUACAGUACAAAACUCCUCCUCCUAGUUACAACUCUGCUUUAACACAGCCUGUUGCCAUCACAGCCCAUGUAGAAGAGUUAGAUAAAAAACCUGGAUCGAUAUCUUCUUCCUUGGAUACCUCUAUGGACUCCUCAAAAGGAAAUACCAAGAAAGGCAAGGACAUGUGCAGAAGUUUAAAUGGAGAGAACGGGAGCCUAAACAAUACCCAAGAGCGGCAGGAGUCUUUCCUAGGACAUACUAGUGCAAUAAAUGGGGCGUUUCUGCCUGGUGAGUGCUCUGGCACUGCAAGUAACGAGCAGCCCUGUGAGUUUCGACCCUCGCUCGGCCCUGUCCUUUGCUGCACUGUGGAGCAAGCAGAGGAGAUCAUGGGGAUGGAAGCGACAGGGUUCAGCACGGGGGAUCAGCUAGAAGACUUUAACUCCAUCCCGGUGGAGCAUGCUGUGGCAGUGGAGUGUGAUGAACAAGUCCUAGGGGAGUUUGAGGAGUUCUCUCGAAGGAUCUAUGCACUGAAUGAAAACAUGUCCAGCUUCCGCAGACCGCGUAAAAGUUCGGACAAGUGAGCUUGGACAGGGAUUUGAUAGCAGACAUUGAGGUGAAGUCAGUGAUCUGGAAUAGAGAUAAAAUUGCACUUAUUCUUUAUAUUAAUUAUAUAAAAUAAAAAAAAAAAGCUAAAGCUAUUCCUAUGGUGUUAGACAAAUGAACUUGAGCACGAUAACACAGGAUCAUGGUAUAUUCACAGCCCAGGAGUCUACUGCACAAGUCUUGGGAGGAGACUGUCCGCUAUACGGAGUCGCUGGUGGGAAGCAGUGUAAUGUGAAGAGCUACAGGGACUCUCCAGGCAUCAUCAGAGCAACAGCGCUCUGGCUUUCCGUCAUGUCUCCACCUGCCAGCAGUGGUACACGGUCUGUGUUCCAGUGCCAGAGGCAUCAUCUAAUUGCAGCAACCAACCCUCAGCUCCUGCAAGGUACCUGUCAGAAGGGGUUUGUGCUGUUACCUCGGGCGCAGGCAGUGCCAGCAAGACCUUCGUCCUGGUUUUGUGAGGGAGAUAACGCUCUUCAACGAAUAGCACUGAAAGCACCUAAUGCCUUUUAGUGAUGGUGCUUGAAACGUGAGCUGAGCCUAAACUGCUCAAAGUCAAUCUUGUCAGCUGUCUUACAUGAUGUUCACUACAGAUAAUGCUCCAGCGGUGAAUGCAGAGCUGAGCAGCUACGGAGGAGCUACAGGUCCCUCCUUAUGACCUGGCUGUGAUUGCCUUGGGGUGGGCAUCGCGUUGGAACAGCGUGUGUGGUGAGAUGGAUUAAAAGGAGGAAUUUCAGCUGCCGUGCUGGAAUUAAAAAGCAACUUUCUGUAAGCAAAUAAAGAGAGCAAAAGAAAAAUCUGCACAGCAUCUUACCAAAACAGCCUGUGAUCAGCUGUGGUAAACUCCACAAGCAGAUAAGACUUCAGAUAUCUCCAUUACCUCCUCAAGCGGAACGUAUCUCCCAAUCUUCCCAUGUCUACAUGAGGGUUGCAACACAGUGGGGUUACUACUCAAGCCCUUGACCUGCUGGUUAAUAAGCUGUUAUGAUGAGGUGUGAACUUGGCCUGGGACUUCUCCAUGCCCAUCUGGCACAUGGACAGCAUCUCUUCUGCUUCCACCUCCUCCCCUUGAUGAAACUGAUAUCUUAUAAAAACAGAUACAGCUUCUUUCCAUCCGAUGGGUCUCAGCUGGGAUUUUCAAACUACCAGUGGAAUUUGAACCUGGUUUUCUAAUCAGGCGAGGGGAAAACGUUGCUGUGUCCCAAAGAGGAAAUGUGAAGUGGCUCCGUGUGCGGGUUGAGUGGUGGGAGAGGAGCUGAGAAGUUCCCCAUCACAGGUGGAGCAAGAGCCAGAGGUGAUGCUGUUACAAAAAAGAGAUGGGAUGCAAAGAAGAGAGCAGGAAAGGUCUCAUUUUUACACAUCCGGUGCCAUAUGGUGAGAAGAAAUGCGUGCACACACAGCAAAUGUGCACUUGGUAUUAUUUAGGAAAAAUUUCAGAACAGUAGAAGUAGGAAGUAUUAGAAGAGGUGAUCCAAGGAGACUGAUCCCUGCUACUGGAGGGUGUGAGAACAAAGACAUACAGAGUAAACAGGACUGGAAGGGCCAGCUUUGAAGUUUGAUCUGAGGUUGCCCAGGGGUUUUUUUCAGGAGGGUUUUGAGUAUCUUCAAAGAUGGAGAUCCCCAACCUGGACCCCUGUUCCAGUGUUUGACCACCUUUGUGGGGAAAAGAUUUUCCUAAUGGGAAUUUCUUAUGUUCUAUCUUGGGCUGUUGACUCUCUUCCCAUCACUGAGCAUCUCCCAUGAAAGCCUGUGUCUCUCUCAUCUUUACACCGUCCCAGCUGGGAGUUGCAGACAGUGACAAAAUCCCCCUUUGCCUUCUACUCUCACUGCACACCCAGCUCUCAGCCUCUCCUUGCAUGCUCUGAGCUCCAGUCCCAACCAGCUUGGUGGCCUCACUGGGUUCUCUCACCAUCUGCCUGGUACUGGGGAGCCCAAACUGGUCCCAAUGCCCUGUUUGACAAGUGCUAAAUGGAGAGGGAGAAUUGCUUCCCUGGCCCUGCUGGCUCCACUCCUGCCACCACCACCCGUGGCACGGUUUGUCAUCUUUGUCCCAGGUUCUUUCCCCAAAAGCUGUUCUCCAGCCCAUCAGCCCCCAGCCUGUGCUACACCAUCCCCGAGAGAUGUCCCAUACUGAUACGAUCCUGUCUCAGCAACCGAGGGUGGUCUACGCAGGCUCCUGAACUCCUUUCCAGCUCUGUGUUUUUGUUCAUCCAAAUCGCACAUAUCUGUAAUUCCCUAAGAAUUCAAUAAAAAGCUCGGGAAAAGGUUGCUAUUCUUUCCUCCCCUGGUGGUUUUUAAAUUUUACACAUCUUAAACCCAAUUAAUUUGCUAGUCACUGGAAGCGUAGCAUCCUAUAUGGCUCCUGUGAGAAGAACACGUGAUAAAUUAGGAUUAUCACUUGCAAGAGCAGCGCAAUGGCACAAGAAUAAAUACGGUAACGUUUCCUUCUGAAGUGUGGGACCUUCUGUGGAGGACCAGCCACGAGCUCUGCAAAGAAAGCUAUUAACCACUGGACUUGAAAACAAUUCCUCACCGUGGUCUGCUGUCUGCUUCUCUUGGUAGCUUUCUGUUACGACAAAUGACACACGAUUGCUUUUCCUACAGGCUUGUGUUUUGUGUUGCAGAAGUGUCUAGAAGCAGCAGCUGAGGUGGAGAACCUCGUUCUUCCAGGGGCUGCCUGGUCACCUAGAAGGGGAUGGGGCUUUUCCUGGUGGCCACACCUAGCCUUCCCCUAGGAUAUGGGGAGCAGAGACUACUGUGGGAUUUGGCAAGGGAUGGAUCCAUAGGUGAGAGAGUCCUGUAAAAUUUGGUCUUUAAAAAUGCCUUAAAGGAAGGAACAGAAACCUGCUCAACCUAGAGGCAUAGACCUUCCUAGUCCAGGCUACUUCUGAUGACUCAGAAUAAAUCUAGGUCUUAAAAUUUCACUUUUCUAGGACUUGUACAUUCCCAAAUUGUUCCUUCUCUCUGCCCCGGGUCAUUCUUCAUCCUCUUCCUCAGCCACGUGAGGGGAAGAGGCUGCCACUGCCUGGAAGGGAGCACCAGACUGCUGGUCCCUAUAGCUUGGUGUGACGUCCAGGGGAAGGACUUACUUUUCGUCUGAGGGUGCAAUUUGCGUGCUUAGCUAUAAUUUAAACCCUGACCCUGGGGAAGUCAGAGCCAAGGACACUGGCUGGUGCCACACGGCUGUGGGGAGAGGGAUGGGUUGGAAACAGGAGUUUGGUUCAGCUCCAUCGUGUUUCCGUCAGGUCUCGGUUUAUAAAUAGUUCGGGUCAACCAUGUGCUUCUCUACUUUGACACUUUUGUAAGGCUGAAGACGCUUUGGGUUAUAUACUUAGAAACUUUCCUUUCCUGGCUGCCCCCGUCUCCCUGUCUGCCAGGAAAGUCCAGCACAAGAGUCAAAAAGGUGCCUGUCUGGAUUAACCGGGAACCUGCCACAGCCGGCGCUGAGCUUUGCCCAGGGCACGGCCUGGAUGAUACCGAGGAACUGGUAAAGCAAUGUGGGUCCUGGGUGCUGAGCUGCUCUCAGGGCUGGCUCCCAAAUGAGGGAGAGGAUGGGAGUGGGGUUUCUCUCCCAUCCUCAGCAGGGGGAAGCAAGCUGGGAAGUCAGGUAGGAGCGGUGCUUGCAAAGGAUAGUUAAACAUAUGGAAAUUAUUAACUGCAAAGUCACCAAAGCACGCAGAACUAUCUUCCUUUGCUGCAGAGAAAUGAUUUUUGCCUCCUGUCCUUGUGCGUUUCUCUGCUGAGCAGACGGGCAUUGCAAUGCCCGCCUGGCUGGCUGGCGGCUGCGUGGCCAAACUCCGGGGCUGGGGAGUCGUAUUUGCUCCAAGAGCUCUCUUCUUGCGGUAUUUGGGAUGCUGAGCAACUGAUGCACUUUCUGCCACCGGCUGGGUGAAACCGGCAUCACAGCAGCUGCUCCUGAAGGUGGGUGAGCACACUAAGGCUGGAGGGAAAGAGCUUGCCUGCAGAGAUGUUUGCAUUGCAGAUCACUGCAGUUUAACUGGUUAUUCUGGGCUCCAGUCAGAGCCACUGAAGAGAAGUGAGCAUGGGGUCCU